UUUCGUUGUGCCGAAGCAUCGUUACGUAUUUCGUUUAGUCCUGCAAAGAAUAUUACUUUUCUGGCAUAAUUAUCGUAUUUUUGGUUUAUGAUGCCACAUCAUUCCAAGAAGAAACGAUCUAGGUCACGAUCUAGCGACGAUCGUCGACAUAAGCGACAGCGGGAAGAGCUUAAUCUUAUACAACGUAGGUUAGAUAACCUAACACAGGUUAUGGAGACGUUGGUACAUGUUCAACCGGAACAGAAACUACAUGAUCACUCUACCGAUGUUGCAAUUGAUGAUGCUCAGGUCAUUGAAGUCGAUGACAGUAUUUCAAGAUCAAGGGAUUCGAAUAUUGAGGUCGAGGGAAAUAUCCAACACUCGACUAACGAUAUUCCUAAGGAAUCAACAUUACGAGAUAAUGUUUUGAAAGUGUUAGGCGUGGAUUUAAAUGAAUCUAAAUUCAAGGAGGUUAAAUAUCACCCGGAAUUAUUAGAUGCGUGGUCUAAAUGGAUAAAGCAAGGUCUUCCAGCGAAAAACAAACAAGAACUUCUGGAACUUUACAAUCGUAAAGAAGAUUUAUACACAGAAGCUCCCAAGGUGAAUUUAGAAAUUAUCCCGCUCCUUUCGGAUAUUACCAAGAAGAGAGACCAGCAUUUUUUAGAGACGCAGAAUUGCGUGGGCACAGCCUUAGCCGCCCUAGGCGUUGCGGUUUCUAUGCUCAUAGAUCCGCCAGAAGACGGUCUGGAUGAAGAUACCUUUAUGGAUUAUUUGAGCCACGCUGGUCAGGUCCUGACGGAUGUGUUCUAUCAACAGUCCGUAGCUCGCAAAUCGUUCAUCACACCGCAGCUAAAUAAAAAUAUUAAACCAACGGCGGAUGCGAUGAUUUCUGACGAGUGGCUUUAUGGCAAUAAUCUUAAGGAUAAAGUCAAGGAUGCAAAGAAAAUUGAAAAGGCCUGCGCAGAAAUUAAGGAUAAACCACAAAAGAAAAGUUUCCUGAAAUUUAAUCGGGGAAACUUGAAAUACCCACCUGCGAUGUAUCGACAGGUGGGUUAUCAACAGAAACGACGUCUGUUCAAGUUCAAGAAACGAGCUCCUCAGAAGGCAUCGUAGAGUGCAUCCAAGACGAAUUCUCAAACGACGCAAUCUCCAUCCAAGAAAUAAGCAGAGGCAAGCACCAUCCGUUAGCUCUCCACCUUUCGUUGGUGGCAGGCAAAUUAUCAGGACGGCAUUCUUGAAGAAAGGAGUCAGCGAAGCGUCGGUGGAUGUGAUGGUUGAUUCCAUUACAAAGUCUACACUUAAGCAAUAUGAGUGUAAUCUGCGAAGUUGGUGGUAUUAUGCACACACUAACGGUUUCGAUAUUUUUCAUCCGAAAACUUCAGAUAUUAUUGAUUUUCUCAAUCACAGAUUUCAAGAGGGUGCAAAGUAUAGUACGUUAAAUACUGCACGAGCAUCUAUCUCUUUAAUUGCUAGUUCUGAUAUAAACGCGGAUGGGUUGAUCUCGCGUUUUUUACGAGGCGUGUUCAAGCAAAGACCAACUAAACCUAAGUACUCUACAACCUGGAAUGUUACUCCCGUUUCACAUUAUAUUGAAAGACUUCACCCUCUUAAACAAUUGAAGUUUAAGGAUACGGCUGAAAAAGUGGCCACGCGUUUAGCGUUAACAACUGCGCAGUGAUUACAGACUUUAGCUUUAAUAAGACUUGAGAAUAUUUCGGUGUUUAAUUUCGGUCUUAGUAUAAAAAUUACGGAUCAAAUCAAGACCUCAAGCCAGGCAGUUUUCAGUCCGAAUUAAUAUUACCUUUUUACAAAGAGAAGCCGGGCUUGUGUGUGGCAUCGGCAAUACUAGACUAUAUUGAACUUACCAAAGAUUUACGACAUCAACGUAUAAGAAAUCUAUUCAUUGCUACUACUAAGCCCUUUAACGCAGUAACCGCACAAACAAUUGGACAUUGGGUUAAAGCACUUCUAGGCAAGGCUGGCAUUGACACUAACCAAUUUACGGCAUACAGCACCCGACAUGCGGCAGUAUCCGCAGCGCAUUCGAGAGGAGUAGAUAUUGCUACUAUUAGAAGAUGUGCUGGAUGGGCUUCUGGAUCUCAAACCUUUUUCAAGUUCUAUAAUAGGCCUAUUCAAGCACCUAAUGAUCAAUUUGCGCGGUCAAUUUUACAGUAGCGAUAGGUAUAGAUAAGUAUCUAUAAGUACAUAUAAGCGAAUAUCUGUAUCUAAGUAUACAAAUGUGUAAUUGCAUAACACAAUGUAAUGAGAAUUCUCACAAGCUCUAAAACACUACAAUAUUAUCAUCGAGAACGAGACGUGCAAUAUAAUUGCAAGAUCAAACGAGCCCGCCGAAGGCGGGCGAAGUUUGAUCGAAAUUAUAUGAAACGUCUCGUUCGAAGAUGAUAGUCUCCCACCCUUGGAAUACCCGAUAAGACUACGCAUGAAUUAAUACUUACGCCCGCUAUCAUCUUUCGAUUAAGUUGUGAUAAUUCUCAGUUCGUUACACAAAACAAUAUGAAGAUAAGAGGAAGUUAUCCUAGGGAUAAGAUGGCGGAGGGCGCCAAAUAUCAAAUUUACUAGACGCUAAACGUUGUGAUGUUAGGCAUGACGAGCAUGACUACAAUAUUAUCAUCUUCGAACGAGACGUUUCAUAUAAUUUCGAUCAAACUUCGCCCGCCUUCGGCGGGCUCGUUUGAUCUUGCAAUUUUGCUUGUCGCUUUUUACGGCCCACCGAAAGAUACGCGGUGCGUCUGCAAAUGAGCUACGUCGCUCGUAAGUAUUCACAAGUAAGUCUAGGUAUGUUCCUCGACUUUGAAAUCUAACCUUUUGCAACCGAUUUAGACCAAUGCUUCAUGAUCAUUCCUGGCUGGUCAAAACGUCUGCAAAUUCCAUUUCCAAGUCGAGGGACAUACUUAUCUUACUUGUCAAGCGAUUGUUCCCCGAUUUAGCUGCGGCGAAGGUUUAAAGAUCUACUGACGCGCCUUCCUUGAGUCUUUUUCAUAAUUUUUUCCUGUUUUUUUUUUCA
Ooceraea biroi (clonal raider ant) is the source of this 3004-nucleotide RNA transcript. RefSeq lists it as uncharacterized. The record is from RefSeq and is a predicted model, not a curated record. NCBI's taxonomy places the organism in Eukaryota, Metazoa, Arthropoda, Insecta, Hymenoptera, Formicidae.